GAUGAACGCUGGCGGCGUGCUUAACACAUGCAAGUCGAACGAUGAAGCCCAGCUUGCUGGGUGGAUUAGUGGCGAACGGGUGAGUAACACGUGAGUAACCUGCCCUUAACUCUGGGAUAAGCCUGGGAAACUGGGUCUAAUACCGGAUAGGAGCGUCCACCGCAUGGUGGGGGUUGGAAAGAUUUAUCGGUUUUGGAUGGACUCGCGGCCUAUCAGCUUGUUGGUGAGGUAAUGGCUCACCAAGGCUACGACGGGUAGCCGGCCUGAGAGGGUGACCGGCCACACUGGGACUGAGACACGGCCCAGACUCCUACGGGAGGCAGCAGUGGGGAAUAUUGCACAAUCGGCGCAAGCCUGCUGCAGCGACGCCGCGUGAGGGACGACGGCCUUCGGGUUGUAAACCUCUUUCAGUAGGGAAGAAGCGAAAGUGACGGUACCUGCAGAAGAAGCACCGGCUAACUACGUG
RNAcentral lists this ribosomal RNA (466 nucleotides) under uncultured bacterium. RNAcentral describes it as "partial 16S ribosomal RNA". It matches the Rfam family "Bacterial small subunit ribosomal RNA", at positions 28 to 507 of the family's 1533-position model. The record is from RNAcentral.